Molecule: non-coding RNA, 23 nt
Filed under: Arabidopsis thaliana (thale cress)
Lineage: Eukaryota; Viridiplantae; Streptophyta; Magnoliopsida; Brassicales; Brassicaceae
Source: RNAcentral
GUCUAAUUUGAGGGUAAAACCUA